UGUGAGAGUGGAAAGUUCACACUGUGGACGGUAUCUUACCAGAAAAGGGACGGCUAACUACCGUGCCAAGCAGCCGCGGUAAUACGUAGGUCCCCGAGUGUUGUCCGGAUUUAUUGGGCGUAAAGCGAGCGCCAGGCGGUUAGAUAAGUCUGAAGUUAAAGGCUGUGGCUUAACCAUAAGUUACGCUUGGAAACUGUUUAACUUUGAGUGCAAGAGGGGAGAGUGGAAUUCCAUGGUGGUACGGUGAAAUGCGUAGAAUAUAUGGAGGAACACCGGUGGGGCGAAGCGGCUCUCUGGCUUGUAACUGACGCUGAGGCUCGAAAGCGUGGGGAGCAAACAGGAUUUAGAUACCCUGGUAGUCCACGCCGUAAAACGAUGAGUGCUAGGUGUUAGACCCUUUCCGGGGGUUAGUGCCGCAGCUAACGCAUUAAGCACUCCGCUUGGGGAUACGACCGCAAGGUUGAACUCAAAGGGAAUGACGGGGGCCCGCACAAGCGGUGGAGCAUGUGGUUUAAUUCGAAGCAACGCGAAGAACCUUACCAGGUCUUGACAUCCCUCUGACCGCUCUAGAGAUAGAGUUUUCCUUCGGGACAGAGGUGACAGGUGGUGCAUGGUUGUCGUCAGCUCGUGUCGUGAGAUGUUGGGUUAAGUCCCGCAACGAGCGCAACCCCUAUUGUUAGUUGCCAUCAUUCAGUUGGGCACUCUAGCGAGACUGCCGGUAAUAAACCGGAGGAAGGUGGGGAUGACGUCAAAUCAUCAUGCCCCUUAUGACCUGGGCUACACACGUGCUACAAUGGCUGGUACAACGAGUCGCAAGCCGGUGACGGCAAGCUAAUCUCUUAAAGCCAGUCUCAGUUCGGAUUGUAGGCUGCAACUCGCCUACAUGAAGUCGGAAUCGCUAGUAAUCGCGGAUCAGCACGCCGCGGUGAAUACGUUCCCGGGCCUUGUACACACCGCCCGUCACACCACGAGAGUUUGUAACACCCGAAGUCGGUGAGGUAACCUUUUAGGAGCCAGCCGCCUAAGGUGGGAUAGAUGAUUGGGGUGAAGUCGUAACAAGGUAACC
RNAcentral lists this ribosomal RNA (1066 nucleotides) under uncultured Streptococcus sp. Its description in RNAcentral is "bacterial SSU rRNA". It matches the Rfam family "Bacterial small subunit ribosomal RNA", at positions 434 to 1501 of the family's 1533-position model. The record is from RNAcentral. Lineage: Bacteria; Bacillati; Bacillota; Bacilli; Lactobacillales; Streptococcaceae.